UUUUUUUUUGGUUUUGG
RNAcentral lists this small RNA (17 nucleotides) under Arabidopsis thaliana (thale cress). RNAcentral's name for it is "ATSL122380". Lineage: Eukaryota; Viridiplantae; Streptophyta; Magnoliopsida; Brassicales; Brassicaceae. The record is from RNAcentral.